This 252-nucleotide ribosomal RNA is filed under the name uncultured bacterium. Its description in RNAcentral is "partial 16S ribosomal RNA". It matches the Rfam family "Bacterial small subunit ribosomal RNA", at positions 525 to 776 of the family's 1533-position model. The record is from RNAcentral.
ACGGAGGGAGCUAGCGUUAUUCGGAAUUACUGGGCGUAAAGCGCGCGUAGGCGGUCUAUUAAGUCAGAGGUGAAAUCCCGGGGCUCAACCCCGGAACUGCCUUUGAAACUGCUAGACUAGAAUAUUGGAGAGGUCAGUGGAAUUCCGAGUGUAGAGGUGAAAUUCGUAGAUAUUCGGAAGAACACCAGUGGCGAAGGCGACUGACUGGACAAUUAUUGACGCUGAGGUGCGAAAGCGUGGGGAGCAAACAGG